Molecule: transfer RNA, 75 nt
Organism: Candidatus Nanopusillus sp.
Lineage: Archaea; Nanobdellati; Nanobdellota; Candidatus Nanoarchaeia; Nanoarchaeales; Nanopusillaceae
Rfam family: tRNA
About the family: Transfer RNA (tRNA) molecules are approximately 80 nucleotides in length. Their secondary structure includes four short double-helical elements and three loops (D, anti-codon, and T loops).
Source: Rfam
GGACCCGUAGUUCAGCAUGGAUAGAAUUCUCGGUUGCGGUCCGAGAGGUCCGGGGUUCGAAUCCCCGCGGGUCCA